This 397-nucleotide ribosomal RNA is filed under the name uncultured bacterium. RNAcentral's name for it is "bacterial SSU rRNA". It matches the Rfam family "Bacterial small subunit ribosomal RNA", at positions 362 to 776 of the family's 1533-position model. The record is from RNAcentral.
UAUUGGACAAUGGGCGCAAGCCUGAUCCAGCCAUGCCGCGUGGAUGAUGAAGGCCUUAGGGCUGUAAAGUCCUUUUAACGGGGGAGAUAAUGACGGUACCCGUAGAAUAAGCCCCGGCUAACUUCGUGCCAGCAGCCGCGGUAAUACGAAGGGGGCUAGCGUUGCUCGGAAUUACUGGGCGUAAAGCGCACGUAGGCGGCUCUUUAAGUCGGGGGUGAAAUCCUGGAGCUCAACUCCAGAACUGCCUUCGAUACUGAAGAGCUCGAGUCCGGGAGAGGUGAGUGGAACUGCGAGUGUAGAGGUGAAAUUCGUAGAUAUUCGCAAGAACACCAGUGGCGAAGGCGGCUCACUGGCCCGGUACUGACGCUGAGGUGCGAAAGCGUGGGGAGCAAACAGG